GGUCAAGUGGGCGAAAGCCUGAACCAGCCAUGUCGCGUGCAGGACGACUGCCCUAUGGGUUGUAAACUGCUUUUAUAUAGGGAAGAAAUGCGAGUACGUGUACUUGGUUUGCCGGUACCAUAUGAAUAAGCAUCGGCUAACUCCGUGCCAGCAGCCGCGGUAAUACGGAGGAUGCGAGCGUUAUCCGGAUUCAUUGGGUUUAAAGGGUGCGUAGGCGGAAGUGUAAGUCGAGGGGUGAAAGUUUGCAGCUCAACUGUAAAAUUGCCUUUGAUACUGCAUUUCUUGAGUACAUUUGAGGUAGGCGGAAUGUGUUGUGUAGCGGUGAAAUGCUUAGAUAUAACACAGAACACCGAUUGCGAAGGCAGCUUACUAAACUGUAACUGACGCUGAUGCACGAAAGCGUGGGGAUCGAACAGGAUUAGAUACCCUGGUAG
Molecule: ribosomal RNA, 434 nt
Filed under: uncultured bacterium
Lineage: Bacteria
Description: bacterial SSU rRNA
Rfam family: Bacterial small subunit ribosomal RNA
Source: RNAcentral